Molecule: long non-coding RNA, 482 nt
Filed under: Neodiprion pinetum (white pine sawfly)
Lineage: Eukaryota; Metazoa; Arthropoda; Insecta; Hymenoptera; Diprionidae
Description: uncharacterized LOC124222165
Source: RNAcentral
UUAUGAUUGGUUUGUUACUAUCUUGGAGAAAAUCACAUAUCAUUCAAAACUUCAAUGCAAUAUGCAUAUGGGCUAACAAUUUCGGUGUCAAUGGCUUGCAGACUGUUGUUUGCCUGGUUUGGUUGGCCAGCUAAUGCUGCUAGAUCGUCAUGAUUGACGACCAAUCCUCGUGGUGGUUUUCUUUUGUUCGAACGACCUGGCACAGAGCUCAGGGGCCUGGCAACUCCAGUACGCCUAGACGAUGGAGAAAUGUAACUAUUGUAUCCCGAUUGCUCAGCAUGAGGUUACAGGGCACAGAAUGGGUAGUAAAGUUCAGAAUGACAUGAUACUUGGAAAAUGGAUGUGAGAAAUGGAAUGAAGCUUCAAAAAUGAGUGAUACUGCUAAUGUCGUUUCAAUUUUCAUUUGGAUUGUAUGGCUUCGACGUGGAUUACAAUGUAUAUUCAGCUAACUACGAUGAAUAACGGUGCUAUCCAGAUUGAUU